GUACUUACCUAGCAGGGAAGCCAUCAUCAUGGGGUGGUUUUUCUCGGGCAAGGCUUACCUAUUGCAUACCAGAUAUUCUGACCUCUGCAAUUUCCCAAAGGGGGAAACUUGUCUGCAUAAAUCGUGGUAGUUGGGGAUAGCAUGCAUUUUUACUAUCCUUAA
Molecule: small nuclear RNA, 162 nt
Organism: Grammomys surdaster
Lineage: Eukaryota; Metazoa; Chordata; Mammalia; Rodentia; Muridae
Product: U1 spliceosomal RNA
Exons: 1
Source: RefSeq, a predicted model, not a curated record